RNAcentral lists this ribosomal RNA (253 nucleotides) under uncultured bacterium. RNAcentral's name for it is "partial 16S ribosomal RNA". It matches the Rfam family "Bacterial small subunit ribosomal RNA", at positions 524 to 776 of the family's 1533-position model. The record is from RNAcentral.
UACGUAGGCAGCAAGCGUUGUUCGGAGUUACUGGGCGUAAAGAGUGCGUAGGCGGUGUCGAAAGUUUGGCGUGAAAUCUCCCGGCUUAACUGGGAGGGUGCGCCGAAAACUGCGGUGCUGGAGUGUGGGAAAGGCAAGCGGAAUUCCUGGUGUAGCGGUGAAAUGCGUAGAUAUCAGGAGGAACACCCAUGGCGAAGGCAGCAGACUGGGCGUUUCCUGACGCUGAGGCGCGAAAGCGUGGGUAGCAAACAGG